GUGCCAGCCGCCGCGGUAAUACGGAGGACCCGAGCGUUAUCCGGAUUCAUUGGGUUUAAAGGGUGCGUAGGCGGCCCGGUCAGUCAGCGGUGAAAUGCCUGCGCUUCACGCAGGAACUGCCGUUGAUACUGCCGGGCUAGAAUCUUAGCGAGGCGGGCGGAAUGCGCAGUGUAGCGGUGAAAUGCAUAGAUAUUGCGCAGAACGCCGAUUGGGGAGCCAGCUCGCCAGCUGAGUAUUGACGCUGAGGCACGAAAGCGUGGGGAUCAAACAGGAUUAGAAACCCGCGUAGUCC
Molecule: ribosomal RNA, 292 nt
Filed under: uncultured bacterium
Lineage: Bacteria
Description: partial 16S ribosomal RNA
Rfam family: Bacterial small subunit ribosomal RNA
Source: RNAcentral